Molecule: long non-coding RNA, 482 nt
Filed under: Capsella rubella
Lineage: Eukaryota; Viridiplantae; Streptophyta; Magnoliopsida; Brassicales; Brassicaceae
Description: long non-coding RNA (CRUB_LNC003076)
Source: RNAcentral
UCUAUUCUGUAGAUGCUAAUCAAAAAGUAUUUUUCUUUUGAUAUUUUAAGUAUAUUCUAGUUCUUGGAUUCUUUUGGCAUAAUUUGUUGAUAAUAGGAAUUCUGUUGGGAAACUAUUUGAUUCUUCUAUUGAUCUUUUUGAUAAGUGUUCUUAAUUCUUCAAUUUUUGUGAAUAUUUUGUUUGUGUAAAAAUCAAAGAAUUUGAUCAUUGAAAUAGGGAGAGAGAGAGUGAAUAAAGGUGGAAGAGAUAAGUGGAGAAUGAGAAGACACCUAGAUACAAAAGUGUCACACAUGAGAACUAUCAAUAUUUCUCAACAAAUUUAGAUGUCAAACAUUGUAACAACAUUUAUCAAUCACAAGGUUUUUGAUAGUUAUUUAUUCAUUUUAAAAAAGUAAUUUGGUUCUAAGAACUGGAUAAUCUAAGCCUAGAUUGAUUACAACCCUUUUAUUUGUUGUAAACAAAAAAAAAACUACUAGUUUUCC